This 770-nucleotide ribosomal RNA is filed under the name uncultured prasinophyte. RNAcentral's name for it is "SSU rRNA". It matches the Rfam family "Eukaryotic small subunit ribosomal RNA", at positions 442 to 1216 of the family's 1831-position model. Lineage: Eukaryota; Viridiplantae; Chlorophyta. The record is from RNAcentral.
UACCCAAUCCUGACACAGGGAGGUAGUGACAAUAAAUAACAAUACCGGGCUUUUUCAAGUCUGGUACUUGGAAUGAGAACAAUCUAAACCCCUUACCGAGGAUCCAUUGGAGGGCAAGUCUGGUGCCAGCAGCCGCGGUAAUUCCAGCUCCAAUAGCGUAUAUUUAAGUUGUUGCAGUUAAAAAGCUCGUAGUUGGAUUUUGGGUCGGAGCGCCCGGUCCGCAGUUUCUGUGAGUACUGGUCGCUCCUUCCUUCUUGCCGGGGACGCGCUCCUGGGCUUCACUGUCUGGGACGUGAAAUCGGCGAUGUUACUUUGAAAAAAUUAGAGUGUUCAAAGCAAGCCAUCGCUCUGAAUACAUUAGCAUGGAAUAACACCAUAGGACUCUGGUCUUAUUUUGUUGGUUUUCGAGAUUGGAGUAAUGAUUAAUAGGGACAGUCGGGGGCAUCCGUAUUUCAUUGUCAGAGGUGAAAUUCUUGGAUUUAUGAAAGACGAACUUCUGCGAAAGCAUUUGCCAAGGAUGUUUUCAUUGAUCAAGAACGAAAGUUGGGGGCUCGAAGAUGAUCAGAUACCAUCCUAGUCUCAACCAUAAACGAUGCCGACUAGGGAUUAGUGGAUGUUAAUUUGAUGACUUCACUAGCACCUUAUGAGAAAUCAAAGUUUUUGGGUUCCGGGGGGAGUAUGGUCGCAAGGCUGAAACUUAAAGGAAUUGACGGAAGGGCACCACCAGGAGUGGAGCCUGCGGCUUAAUUUGACUCAACACGGGGAAACUU